GGACUACUAGGGUAUCUAAUCCUGUUCGCUCCCCACACUUUCGCUCCUCAGCGUCAGGUAAUGCCCAGAGAACCGCCUUCGCCACCGGUGUUCCUCCUGAUAUCUGCGCAUUUCACCGCUACACCAGGAAUUCCGUUCUCCCCUGCAUACCUCUAGUCUGCCCGUAUCAGAAGCAGGCUCGGAGUUAAGCCCCGAGUUUUCACUCCUGACGCGACAAACCGCCUACGAGCCCUUUACGCCCAAUAAUUCCGGACAACGCUCGCACCCUACGUAUUACCGCGGCGGCUGGCAC
Molecule: unclassified non-coding RNA, 292 nt
Filed under: uncultured fungus
Lineage: Eukaryota; Fungi
Description: sequence contains ITS1
Source: RNAcentral